AACGAACGCUGGCGGCAUGCCUAACACAUGCAAGUCGAACGAUACCUGCUGGUCUAUGUGCGCACUGGUGCGUAACGCGUGGGAACCUUCCCUUAUGUUCGGAAUAACUCUCCGAAAGGGUUGCUAAUACCGGAUGAUUUCUUCUGACCAAAGAUUUAUCGCCUUUGGAUGGUUCCGCGUUGGAGUAGCUAUUUGGUCAGUUAAAGGACUACCAAGGCGAAGAUCCAUAGCUGGUAUGGGAAGAUGACCAGACACACUGGGACUGAGACAAGUCGCAGACUCUUACGGGAGGACGAAGUGGGGACUAUUGGACAAUGGGCGAAAGAAUGAUCCAGCAAUGCCGUGUGAGUCUUGAAGUCGUUAGGGUUGUAAAGCUCUUUUAACAGGGAUGAUAAUGACGGUACCGGGAGAAUAAGCGCCGGCUAACUCCGUG
This 433-nucleotide ribosomal RNA is filed under the name uncultured bacterium. Its description in RNAcentral is "partial 16S ribosomal RNA". It matches the Rfam family "Bacterial small subunit ribosomal RNA", at positions 29 to 507 of the family's 1533-position model. The record is from RNAcentral.